GAGUUUGAUCUUGGCUCAGAUUGAACGCUGGCGGCAGGCCUAACACAUGCAAGUCGAGCGGAUGACGGGAGCUUGCUCCUUGAUUCAGCGGCGGACGGGUGAGUAAUGCCUAGGAAUCUGCCUGGUAGUGGGGGACAACGUUUCGAAAGGAACGCUAAUACCGCAUACGUCCUACGGGAGAAAGCAGGGGACCUUCGGGCCUUGCGCUAUCAGAUGAGCCUAGGUCGGAUUAGCUAGUUGGUGGGGUAAUGGCUCACCAAGGCGACGAUCCGUAACUGGUCUGAGAGGAUGAUCAGUCACACUGGAACUGAGACACGGUCCAGACUCCUACGGGAGGCAGCAGUGGGGAAUAUUGGACAAUGGGCGAAAGCCUGAUCCAGCCAUGCCGCGUGUGUGAGAAGGUACUUCGGAUUGUAAAGCACUUUAAGUUGGGAGGAAGGGCAGUAAGUUAAUAACCUUG
This 460-nucleotide ribosomal RNA is filed under the name bacterium enrichment culture clone ALO1_GLFRUDD03GEF5Z. RNAcentral's name for it is "bacterial SSU rRNA". It matches the Rfam family "Bacterial small subunit ribosomal RNA", at positions 9 to 467 of the family's 1533-position model. The record is from RNAcentral.